CAGCCUGGGGUGCUGAGUGCUGGGCUAUUGGGGAUGAUGGUCUGGGGUACUGAGUGCUGGGGUGCUGGGCGCUGAGUGCUGGGGUGCUGGGCGCUGAGUGCUGGGGUGCUGGGCGCUGAGUGCUGGGCUGUUGGGGAUGACAGCGGAUGUUCUCCUCCCUGUCUUUUCAGGGCAUGUGCACACCACCCUCGGGCAUGAUCCUGGAGACGCGGGAGCUCGGCUGCCAGGUUGCUGAUACGCUCCAUGUUCAGGGGCUGUCCCACCGGGAAAGGUGCCUGUGGGGGAGCUGGGAUGCCAGGUCGAUUUCAACUAAGUUCUCGUUUACGGACAUACACACCAGUGGGAUUUGAUUACUGGCCUCACCUGCGCUGGAAGAAGCUCUAUCUUUAACUUCUGUUCUGCUCAUUCUGCUCAUGUAUAUAUUCUGAGAUGUUUUAAACAACAAUUCACCCAUCUUCCUGGCUUUCACCUGAUGAAAUUACAAAUGUUCAGAAUUCUCACCACCUUCUGGUUAAGCAAGUGUCAUGGAUUGAACUGUGUCCCCCUGAAACUCUUAUGCUGGAGUCCUAGUCCCACGGCCUCAGAAUGUGGCCUUAUUUGGAGACAGGGUCUUCACAGAGGUGAUCUGUUUAACAGGAGGUCCCAGGGUGGGCCCUAAACCCCAUGGCUGGUGUCCGUAUAAGAUGGGCACAUUUGGACACUGAGACACAGACAAGAAGACGACCACAUACGGCCACGCGGGGUGCCCUCCAAGGAACCAACUCCGGCCGCACCUUGAUCUCGGCCUUCCCGCCUCCUUUCCCGCUGUUUAAGCCGCCCAUGAGAGUGCCCCAUGAUGGCAACGCCAGCGGGCGCAUAUACAGCAGGCCUCUGGGGUCCAGCCUGGGAGCCCAGACACAGACACCGUCUCUACCUGGCAAGAUGGGGUGACGAAAUGAGAAAUGAAUAGAUCUGGUCUCUGCUCCUGAGACCCAGCACAGGGCUCCAAAAGCCCUUGAAUUUCCUGGGUGAUGGUAGCGGAUUCUUCCGUUCAAAUGAGGUGAGGCUUGGUGGCUCCUGGAGGGGGGCCGGUCACCAGAGAGACCAGCCAGGAUUAGCACCUGCAGCUCUCAACCCUGCACCCACCCUCCUCCAGGGAUCAUCCACCAUCAUCCUUCAUGUCUGUGAUGGAGCCUCCAUAAGAAUGCCUGGACUAUGGGUCCAGAGCAGUUCCGGGUUGCUGAACACAUCCACGAGCCAGGAGGGUGGUGCCCCCCACUCCACGGACACAGAAGCUCCUGGGCUGGGGACCCUUUCCGACCCUGCCCUGUGCCCCGGCCCACCUGGCUGCCCAUCUGCGGCCUUUCUCAUCUCCUUUUCCUGCGUUCUGUGAUAAUUUUGUGUUGCACUCUUGAUAUUUAAGGCUAAUGUGUAACUAGAAAACUGAGUUUUAAUAUUUAAUGCCCUUGGAUUUGGGAAAUCUCUUACUA
Long non-coding RNA from Gorilla gorilla gorilla (western lowland gorilla), 1469 nucleotides. RefSeq lists it as uncharacterized. Lineage: Eukaryota; Metazoa; Chordata; Mammalia; Primates; Hominidae. The transcript is spliced from 2 exons. The record is from RefSeq and is a predicted model, not a curated record.